UUGCCAGCCCGCUCAGUCAGAGUUUGAUCCUGGCUCAGGACGAACGCUGGCGGCGUGCUUAACACAUGCAAGUCGAACGGAAAGGCCCUGCUUUUGUGGGGUGCUCGAGUGGCGAACGGGUGAGUAACACGUGAGUAACCUGCCCUUGACUUUGGGAUAACUUCAGGAAACUGGGGCUAAUACCGGAUAGGAGCUCCUGCUGCAUGGUGGGGUUGGAAAGUUUCGGCGGUUGGGGAUGGACUCGCGGCUUAUCAGCUUGUUGUGGUAGUGGCUUACCAAGGCUUUGACGGGUAGCCGGCCUGAGAGGGUGACCGGCCACAUUGGGACUGAGAUACGGCCCAG
This 342-nucleotide ribosomal RNA is filed under the name uncultured bacterium. RNAcentral's name for it is "bacterial SSU rRNA". It matches the Rfam family "Bacterial small subunit ribosomal RNA", at positions 1 to 334 of the family's 1533-position model. The record is from RNAcentral.